CAUAUCCUUUAAUCUCUGGGUCUCCCCCAAACCACUCAGUUCUGAUAGGCAUUAAAUCAUUUGCGUGAUCUCAAGGUUUCAGAGUAAUGAUAGGGAUUUAAAUCAUGUAUACAUGUUUUUUAGCAAAAAAUUCUGUUCAGAUCCCAACAGAAUCAUAGGAUGUUUCUUUAUAUAUGGCUUUAGUUGUUCUGUUCUUGAAGCACGAAUCUUGGAACUUUAAACGGUAUUGAUUUCGUUGAUGUAUCUGUCUGAUCUGCCUUUUUACUUAUUUGAUCCAACGAAGAAGUUGUUUCUGUAUUUGUUCUCAUUGUUGUUGAUGAUCGAUUUUUCUUCGCUGCUUAGGCUUUUUUUGUGUUUAUUAUAUGCUUUUUGUUUGGCUAUUUUAAGUGGUUUGGUAAAGUGCUAGAAUUGGUUUUGGAUUCUUUCAAUUUCUAGGCAUGCUUUGUAGUUCUUGCAGUAAUGCACAUAUAUUUCAACCAUUCUACUUAGAAAUGAAUCUGUUAUCAUUGGCAAUAGGAAAAAAGAUUUUCAUUCAAGCUGUGUGGAGUCAAGGCUGACUAAGUGGGGGACAUUUUUCCCUGUAUGCAAACUCGAUAUGAUAACCAAAACCACGUUUCUGUUGUGCAAGUGUGUCUUCUUUUCUUAACAGGUUUACCGUGAAUAAAACGGUGGAUUGAGACCAAAAGUUGAAUGAAUGAUCUGUAAUAGUCCACAUUCUUGUUUAAAAUGCUAGAUGAAUCUUGAAGAUACACUGAGUUUGAAUGCCAAAUUUGUGAGAAAAUAACUUGAGUUAUUCUUUAUGCCCUAGGCUAAGCAUUUGGAUAAAGAAGUGCAUUAACUAAGACCCUUAAUGGAAGAAGAUAGUUUUCAGUUGGAUUAAUUGGUUCUUUUAUUUUAUUUUUUUUACUUUAGUUAUAUCAUAUUAGUUUCUUCAUCUUUUUAUUUCUAUGGGUCAUUGUGCUAUUAUGGAGAUCUACUGUUUGGCCUUUCGAGGAGGAGAAUGUGCGUAUGUAUAAUGUAUUUUUCUUUUUUAUGACCAUUGGAUCUAGUUCUUUCUAGAAUUUCAGCAUGCUCUAGUUCCCUCUAUUUAAGUACAAUACCUCCAUUAAGAGUCUUCCAACGUUGAUUAAGCUUUAUUGGGCACCUUUUCCUUCGGUUUGCCUUGAUAAAUUCUACCCAAGAAAUACAAAAAGAGGCGGGGAGAUUAGGUUGAACGCAACAGAAUGAGCCUUCAGCUAUUUGAAAUCACUAUGGAUUGGAUGGUAUCCCAACCAAGUUUCUAAGGCCCUCUACGAUGCCAAGGUGCAACCAACAACCUUGAUACAGAAGCAAGUGGGAAACAUGUAUACUGCAUCUCUUUAUGCCGCCUUUGCUUCCCUUUUUCACAACAAAAACAGUGAACUGGGUGGUGAGAAGCUGAGUUAUAAGAUUGUUGCUCUUGCAAUGAUGUUAUGGGGUAAUCGCACUUCUCAGUUUUCACUUUUUAACUCGAGCUAUUUCAGAAUUGGCUAGUUGUAUGAGCUGCACAAUAUAUGCGUUCAUUAAGUUUUGGAAUGAUCUUGCAACUCUUACGUUUGAGGACAAGAAAGUCGAAGCAGAAGCGAGAGGAACAACAUAUCAAGGAAAAUAUAGACUUCCAAAAUCAACUUCAAG
This is a long non-coding RNA of Hibiscus syriacus, 1653 nucleotides long. RefSeq lists it as uncharacterized. Lineage: Eukaryota; Viridiplantae; Streptophyta; Magnoliopsida; Malvales; Malvaceae. The record is from RefSeq and is a predicted model, not a curated record. The transcript is spliced from 3 exons.